AGUUGCUCCUUCAGGCUCAUAUACUAAAAAAAAUUGGAACAAUAUAGAAAAGAUUAGCAUGGCUCCUGUGCUCAGGGAUGACACGCAAAUUCGCGAAGUGUGUCGUAUUUAA
Molecule: small nuclear RNA, 112 nt
Organism: Octodon degus (degu)
Lineage: Eukaryota; Metazoa; Chordata; Mammalia; Rodentia; Octodontidae
Source: RefSeq, a predicted model, not a curated record